This 2097-nucleotide long non-coding RNA is filed under the name Priapulus caudatus. RNAcentral's name for it is "uncharacterized LOC106808988". The record is from RNAcentral. Lineage: Eukaryota; Metazoa; Priapulida; Priapulimorpha; Priapulimorphida; Priapulidae.
GCAUCAGGCGGAGUCGAUACAGAACACGCCGUCGAAUGCACGACGUCGCGCGCUUCGUGUGUAGCCACUAUACCCGAAGUUCGUGUCUACUCAGAUAAGCAAAAAUAACAACUAGAGAGAAAGAGAGAGAGGCGGGAAACGUCAUCAAGGCAAGUGGUCGCCAAACGGGAGACAUACGUGAUUUUUUUUAUUGUCGGGGAUCGAACGACAGUCUUCGCUUCCGGCGCACGCGCCGAACACCCUGCGAUCAUCAAUAUAGGAUAUCAUUCUGUGCUGUGCUUGCUAGCGUUGUAGAGUCAACGAUGGCUGCGCUGCGGGUUGGUGACCUCUGCGCCAGGCUGCUGCUGUCUGCGACCGUCAUGUGGCUUCUUGGCGCUAUUCCAGCCUGCGAGUCCACGCACAUGAUAGACCACACGGAACCGGCCAACGCGACGGCGCCAGCGACCCCUCCCAGCCCGCAGCAGGCGGCCACCGACACCAUCUACUACGCUCUGGGCAUCGUCGGCGGCGCCGUCGUCGUUGUGUUGCUCAUUGUCAGCUGCCGCGCCUGCAUGCAAAGUUUCUACGAGUCGGACGACGCCUACGCGAAGGCGAAGCGCAAACGCGCCGCCAACCCCGUACGCUUCUAACGUCCGCGUCAGCAUCUGCGUCAGCGUCUACGUCAGCGCCUACGUCAGCACCUGCAUGCAUCAGCAUCUGCGUCCGCACCUAUUUUAGUGCCUGCGUCAGCGCUUAUGUAAGCGGCUGCGUCCGCACCUACGUGUUAGCGCCUGCGUAGCAUCUACGUCAGCGUCUGCGUCAGCACCUGCGUCAGCAUCUGCGUCAGCAUCUUCGUCAGCACCUGCAUCAGCGCCGGAGUCAGCACUUAUGUCCGUGUCUGCGUCAGCACCUGCGUCAGCGCCUGCGUCCGCACCUGCAUCAACGCCUGCGUCAGCAUCUAUGUCAGGGUCUGCGUCAGCAUCUAUGUUAGCGCCUACGUCCGCACCUGCGUCAGCGCUUGCGUCAGCACCGAUGAAAGCGCUUGCGUCAGGGUCUGUGUCAACACCUACGUCAGCGGCUGGUAGACGCGUUUAAGCAUGUGUUACUUACUUAGUGCCAAGCAGUACGCCACCUAGUGGUGGUUAUAUGUGUCUGUCUCGCUGUUUUUGCACAGACAAAACGACGAAGAACAAUUCCAACUAUACAAUGUCUAUCGCAAGAGGGCGUGCUAUGUUUAGUGGGCAUUCGGUCGAAUUUUGGUUCAUAGCUUAGCCGGGUUAAUCGUAUUCGGUGUUACAUGGAACGCAUCUUCUUUAACUUUCAAUCAACGUCGGCAAUCAGUUGGCCUCUUUACCUAGGGUUAAGUCACGUCAAUUAUCAACUAGACUACAUCGUAACCGAAUUAACCCUCGUCAAUGAUCAGCGGGAAUACAAUAAGCGAGUUAAAGGUAGCUUCCCUCGAACUUUGAAGCGGCAAACAUAAAAUCAGGCAAUAAUGAAUUAUUUUCAAAGCUAACGUUCAGUUAAAGUGUAGUGAGUUAUUUACUUACGUUUUUACAGUGGUUUGUUACAAACAUUUACGUGGUAAGUUCGAGGAAAGCUAUCUUUAACUCACGACGAAAGUUAUACGACGAAGUUAAUUAAGAUAGACCGCAGGUGUUAUUUACUAUGGUGGGUAUUUACGACGAGGCUGAGUGGGGGUGCGCCUUCGUGACGAUAUAACGAUGCGUUUAGGAGUUGAUAUUACCGAUUUCCACGCAUAUAAUAGUUUGUUCGUCGAUGCAAAUGAAUGCCAUUCAAAAAGAUCUUUGAUAAAAUUGUCAUUUUUAACCAUGGCACUUUUGCUAUCGUCGUAAAAUCCCGAAAAUAUAUGGUUAACCAGAUUACAGUUUAUAUUACAGUACAUAUUAAUAUAAAAAUAUUAUAACAUAUUAUACAUAUAAUUAAUGUGAAUUAAUGCACAAUUUCACUCGGCUAGUUUAAUGUGGCUUGGGUUAAUGUGAUCUAGCCUAAUAUUGUACACGGUCGAGAGAAAGUCCAUCCACAAACGACGCGCGGUACUCAGAAUUUGUCGAAAAUAAAUGUGAAUGCUAACCAGAAUGUAGCGUUGCAUUAUAA